GACGAACGCUGGCGGCGUGCCUAACACAUGCAAGUCGAACGGAGCUAAUUAGAGGAAGUUUUCGGAUGGAAUUUGGUUAGCUUAGUGGCGGACGGGUGAGUAACGCGUGAGGAACCUGCCUUGGAGUGGGGAAUAACACAGUGAAAAUUGUGCUAAUACCGCAUAAUGCAGCUGGGCCGCAUGGCUCUGACUGCCAAAGAUUUAUCGCUCUGAGAUGGCCUCGCGUCUGAUUAGCUAGUUGGUGGGGUAACGGCCCACCAAGGCGACGAUCAGUAGCCGGACUGAGAGGUUGGCCGGGCCACAUUGGGACUGAGACACGGGCCCAGACUCCUACGGGAGGCAGCAGUGGGGAAUAUUGGGCAAUGGGCGCAAGCCUGACCCAGCAACGCCGCGUGAAGGAAGAAGGGCUUUCGGGUGUAAACUUCUUUUCUUAGGGACGAAGCAAGUGACGGUACCUAAGGAAUAAGCCACGGCUAAACUACGUGCCAGCCGCCGCUGUAA
RNAcentral lists this ribosomal RNA (501 nucleotides) under uncultured bacterium. Its description in RNAcentral is "bacterial SSU rRNA". It matches the Rfam family "Bacterial small subunit ribosomal RNA", at positions 28 to 523 of the family's 1533-position model. The record is from RNAcentral.